This 24-nucleotide non-coding RNA is filed under the name Arabidopsis thaliana (thale cress). Lineage: Eukaryota; Viridiplantae; Streptophyta; Magnoliopsida; Brassicales; Brassicaceae. The record is from RNAcentral.
AUCAUAGUCAUGUCGUGUCUCAAU